This 253-nucleotide ribosomal RNA is filed under the name uncultured bacterium. Its description in RNAcentral is "partial 16S ribosomal RNA". It matches the Rfam family "Bacterial small subunit ribosomal RNA", at positions 524 to 776 of the family's 1533-position model. The record is from RNAcentral.
UACGUAGGGUGCAAGCGUUGUCCGGAAUUAUUGGGCGUAAAGAGCUCGUAGGCGGUCUGUCGCGUCUGCUGUGAAAACCUAGGGCUUAACUCUGGGCGUGCAGUGGGUACGGGCAGGCUAGAGUGCGGUGGGGGAGACUGGAAUUCCUGGUGUAGCGGUGAAAUGCGCAGAUAUCAGGAGGAACACCGAUGGCGAAGGCAGGUCUCUGGGCCGAUACUGACGCUGAGGAGCGAAAGCGUGGGUAGCGGACAGG